RNAcentral lists this ribosomal RNA (336 nucleotides) under uncultured bacterium. RNAcentral's name for it is "bacterial SSU rRNA". It matches the Rfam family "Bacterial small subunit ribosomal RNA", at positions 28 to 363 of the family's 1533-position model. The record is from RNAcentral.
GAUGAACGCUAGCGGCAGGCCUAAUACAUGCAAGUCGAACGGUAAGCUGGGUAGUAAUAUUCAGCCAAGAGUGACGUACGGGUGCGUAACACGUAUGCAACCUACCCUUUACAGAUGGAUAGCUCGGGGAAACUCGAAUUAACCCGUCAUAAAAUAAUUGGAUGGCAUCAUUUGAUUAUUAAAACUGAGGUGGUAAAGGAUGGGCAUGCGUCUGAUUAGUUAGUUGGGGGGUAACGCCCACAAGACGAUGAUCAGUAGGGGAACUGAGAGGUUGACUCCCCCANACUGGCACUGAGAUACGGGCCAGACUCCUACGGGAGGCAGCAGUAGGGAAUA